CAGUCGCCACGGUAAUACGAAGGGGGCUAGCGUUACUCGGAAUUACUGGGCGUAAAGGGCGCGUAGGCGGCACGAUUAGUCAGGCGUGAAAUUCCUGGGCUCAACCUGGGGACUGCGCUUGAUACGGUCGAGCUAGAGGAUGGGAGAGGGUUGUGGAAUUCCCAGUGUAGAGGUGAAAUUCGUAGAUAUUGGGAAGAACACCGGUGGCGAAGGCGGCAACCUGGUCCAUUACUGACGCUGAGGCGCGACAGCGUGGGGAGCAAACAGGAUUAGAUACCCGAGUAGUCCCUGUCUUUAUACA
RNAcentral lists this ribosomal RNA (301 nucleotides) under uncultured bacterium. RNAcentral's name for it is "partial 16S ribosomal RNA". It matches the Rfam family "Bacterial small subunit ribosomal RNA", at positions 509 to 809 of the family's 1533-position model. The record is from RNAcentral.